CAAGUGGCUGGUUUGGGAAUCACUGCUAAUAUUGCUUACUCACAAUUAAUAUAAUAAUUUUGACAUUUAUAAUAAAUUAGAGCAACUGCAAUAAAAAAUGAUUAGAAUAGCGAUGGGACACGCAAAGAAGCAUCCAGGGCUCAUCCCCCAGUUCCUUGUCGUCUUGUUGGGAAUAGGAGGAGCCUCUAUGUACUUGUUCCGUCUUGCAAAUGGGCCCCAUGUAAAUUCUAGGGCAUCAAUUUCCAAUUUACUACUAAAGGCCUAUACCACUGUUCUGGAACAAGAAGAACAACCCUGAGCCCUGGAAUCAACUUGACCCUACCUACCAGUACAAGUUUGUGGCCAUAGGCACGGACUACAAGAACCUGAAGAAGGAGGGACCUCAAUUCUGAGAAUCCUUCCUCUUGUCCAAAUGGCACAAGGUCCAGCCCACCUUACUGCAGUCCAUGUAAAAAGCCUUCAGUCAUAUUGUUCCUAUCAGACAUGUGUGUUACUGCUGCUAUGGACGUGUUAAACUGCUGUUGGUAGUGGGAAAAUAAAGCUAACGAAAUGUGAAUGCUGAAGAUCCGUCUAGUGACGCCAGCCUGGCAUGUUGAUUCAAAAUUGUCUUGUUUGAUUUGUUUCAAUAUUUCAAAAAGAGCUGUGAAUUUUGAUGAAGUUAUAUUGUACUGUAUGAGUUAUGGGUUUUUUUGUUACAGGGAAACUGUUAUUCUGUCUGUUUUGAUGUGAGGUGACUGGUUUAGAGAUUGCGUGUGAUGUUUUAAGCCUUUUUGAUGAAAUGUUUUGGGCCAUGCAAAGUGAUGUUAAUUAUAGACGUAGGGCUACUGAUAUUUGCCGCUCUGGAAAGAAUAAAGGUUUGGUUGAAACCCAUGUUAAUGGCGACAUUGUAAAUCUAGCUCCUGACAACCUCCAGUUUGUCAGUUUGUAUGCAUUUAGACUAACUAUUUUGUAUUGGUUUUUACAUUGAAUACUUCUAAUAUGUGGCCUCUGCCAUUUGCAUUCUUAUUGCUUAACUGUAAUAAACCUGAUUACUUUUAAUUUGA
Molecule: RNA transcript, 1043 nt
Organism: Oncorhynchus kisutch (coho salmon)
Lineage: Eukaryota; Metazoa; Chordata; Actinopteri; Salmoniformes; Salmonidae
Gene name: cytochrome c oxidase subunit NDUFA4-like
Exons: 5
Source: RefSeq, a predicted model, not a curated record